Molecule: ribosomal RNA, 497 nt
Filed under: uncultured bacterium
Lineage: Bacteria
Description: partial 16S ribosomal RNA
Rfam family: Bacterial small subunit ribosomal RNA
Source: RNAcentral
GAUGAACGCUGGCGGCGUGCCUAAUACAUGCAAGUCGAGCGAACAGACGAGGAGCUUGCUCCUCUGACGUUAGCGGCGGACGGGUGAGUAACACGUGGAUAACCUACCUAUAAGACUGGGAUAACUUCGGGAAACCGGAGCUAAUACCGGAUAAUAUCUUGAACCGCAUGGUUCAAUAGUGAAAGACGGCUUUGCUGUCACUUAUAGAUGGAUCCGCGCCGCAUUAGCUAGUUGGUAAGGUAACGGCUUACCAAGGCCACGAUGCGUAGCCGACCUGAGAGGGUGAUCGGCCACACUGGAACUGAGACACGGUCCAGACUCCUACGGGAGGCAGCAGUAGGGAAUCUUCCGCAAUGGGCGAAAGCCUGACGGAGCAACGCCGCGUGAGUGAUGAAGGUCUUCGGAUCGUAAAACUCUGUUAUUAGGGAAGAACAAAUGUGUAAGUAACUAUGCACGUCUUGACGGUACCUAAUCAGAAAGCCACGGCUAACUACGUG